Molecule: long non-coding RNA, 293 nt
Filed under: Gossypium barbadense (sea-island cotton)
Lineage: Eukaryota; Viridiplantae; Streptophyta; Magnoliopsida; Malvales; Malvaceae
Description: long non-coding RNA (GBAR_LNC015715)
Source: RNAcentral
CAAGAUCCGUCAAGCCAUUGUUAAGAAUAAAGUUCUGAAAUAACUUGCAUCUAGAAAAAAAUGGGUGCCCUCCUUUCUUUUCAUCUGGUGAUAACACUGAAUUGAAAUCUCCCAACAAAACCUAAGGCUCGUUGUUGGACUGAGAAAUUUUUUCUAAAUGGUCCCAUAAGAUUUUGCAUUUUUGUUUGUUUAAAAAACCAUAAAAAAUUUACUAAAACAUUUUUUGAACCCCUAUUCUUCCCCAAACAACAAUGAAUAAAAUGUGGGUCAUUUAGGACAAUCUGAACCUAAAU